This 253-nucleotide ribosomal RNA is filed under the name uncultured bacterium. RNAcentral describes it as "partial 16S ribosomal RNA". It matches the Rfam family "Bacterial small subunit ribosomal RNA", at positions 524 to 776 of the family's 1533-position model. The record is from RNAcentral.
UACGAAGGGGGCUAGCGUUGUUCGGAAUCACUGGGCGUAAAGCGCACGUAGGCGGAUGUGUCAGUCAGGGGUGAAAUCCCGGGGCUCAACCUCGGAACUGCCUCUGAUACAGCACGUCUUGAGUCCGGAAGAGGUGGGUGGAAUUCCUAGUGUAGAGGUGAAAUUCGUAGAUAUUAGGAAGAACACCGGUGGCGAAGGCGACCCACUGGUCCGGUACUGACGCUGAGGUGCGAAAGCGUGGGGAGCAAACAGG